RNAcentral lists this ribosomal RNA (414 nucleotides) under uncultured bacterium. Its description in RNAcentral is "partial 16S ribosomal RNA". It matches the Rfam family "Bacterial small subunit ribosomal RNA", at positions 355 to 760 of the family's 1533-position model. The record is from RNAcentral.
UGGGGAAUAUUGCACAAUGGGCGCAAGCCUGAUGCAGCCAUGCCGCGUGUGUGAAGAAGGCCUUCGGGUUGUAAAGCACUUUCAGCGAGGAGGAAGGCAGUCGUGUUAAUAGCACGAUUGAUUGACGUUACUCGCAGAAGAAGCACCGGCUAACUCCGUGCCAGCAGCCGCGGUAAUACGGAGGGUGCAAGCGUUAAUCGGAAUUACUGGGCGUAAAGCGCACGCAGGCGGUUUGUUAAGUCAGAUGUGAAAUCCCCGCGCUUAACGUGGGAACUGCAUUUGAAACUGGCAAGCUAGAGUCUUGUAGAGGGGGGUAGAAUUCCAGGUGUAGCGGUGAAAUGCGUAGAGAUCUGGAGGAAUACCGGUGGCGAAGGCGGCCCCCCUGGACAAAGACUGACGCUCAGGUGCGAAAGC